CUACGGGGUGCACCAGUGAGGAAUAUUGCACAAUGGGGGGAACCCUGAUGCAGCAACGCCGCGUGGAGGAUGACGCAUUUCGGUGUGUAAACUCCUUUUAUAUGUCAAGAAAAUGACGGUAGCAUAUGAAUAAGCACCGGCUAACUCCGUGCCAGCAGCCGCGGUAAUACGGAGGGUGCAAGCGUUACUCGGAAUCACUGGGCGUAAAGGACGCGUAGGCGGGUUGGAAAGUCAGGUGUGAAAUCCUACAGCUUAACUGUAGAACUGCACUUGAAACUUCUAAUCGAGAGUAUGGGAGGGGGAGAUGGAAUUAGUGGUGUAGGGGUAAAAUCCGUAGAUAUCACUAGGAAUACCUAAAGCGAAGGCGAUCUCCUGGAACAUUACUGACGCUAAGGCGUGAAAGCGUGGGGAGCAAACAGGAUUAGAUACCCCCGUAGUC
This 439-nucleotide ribosomal RNA is filed under the name uncultured bacterium. Its description in RNAcentral is "partial 16S ribosomal RNA". It matches the Rfam family "Bacterial small subunit ribosomal RNA", at positions 339 to 795 of the family's 1533-position model. The record is from RNAcentral.